GUCUAUCUUGCGCGCAAGCCAAUGGGUAAAUGGUGCGGUACGCCGCCCAUGACUGGAAACCCACAGGCACAGACAAAUCGAGUGUUGCGGGAUUACGGGUACGGCCGAUGGCGCAAGCCUUCGUCGGACCCCUCCAUCCCAGGGUGUCCCGUUCGGGUGCUUGCACCCAGCGGACAUCCCCGGAGUGCGUAGGAUGUGACCCGAAAGAUGGUGAACUAUGCCUGAUCAGGUUGAAGUCAGGGGAAACCCUGAUGGAGGACCGAAGCAAUUCUGACGUGCAAAUCGAUUGUCAGAGUUGGGCAUAGGGGCGAAAGACCAAUCGAACCAU
This 328-nucleotide ribosomal RNA is filed under the name Anopheles minimus C. RNAcentral describes it as "eukaryotic LSU rRNA". It matches the Rfam family "Eukaryotic large subunit ribosomal RNA", at positions 673 to 943 of the family's 3401-position model. Lineage: Eukaryota; Metazoa; Arthropoda; Insecta; Diptera; Culicidae. The record is from RNAcentral.